Molecule: ribosomal RNA, 668 nt
Filed under: Bacillus sp. SCF 9
Lineage: Bacteria; Bacillati; Bacillota; Bacilli; Caryophanales; Bacillaceae
Description: bacterial SSU rRNA
Rfam family: Bacterial small subunit ribosomal RNA
Source: RNAcentral
GAAAGCUAAUACCGGAUGGUUGCCUGAACCGCAUGGUUCAGGCAUAAAAGGUGGCUUCCGGGCGGCUACCACUUACAGAUGGACCCGCGGCGCAUUAGCUAGUUGGUGAGGUAACGGCUCACCAAGGCGACGAUGCGUAGCCGACCUGAGAGGGUGCACACUGGGACUGAGACACGGCCCAGACUCCUACGGGAGGCAGCAGUAGGGAAUCUUCCGCAAUGACGGAGCAACGCCGCGUGAGUGAUGAAGGUUUUGGGCGGACGGCCGGAUCGUAAAGCUCUGUUGUUAGAACAAGUGCCGUUCAAAUACACCUUGACGGUACCUGUGGAACCAGAAACGGCUAACUACGUGCCAGCAGCCGCGGUAAUACGUAGGUGGCAAGCGUUGUCCGGAAAUUGGGCGUAACUCGCAGGCGGUUUCUUAAGUCUGAUGUGAAAGCCCCCGGCUCAACCGGGGAGGGUCAUUGGAAACUGGGGAACUUGAGUGCAGAAGAGUGGAAUUCCACGUGUAGCGGUGAAAUGCGAGAGAUGAGGAACACGAAGGCGACUCUCUGGUCUGUAACUGACGCUGAGGAGCGAAAGCGUGGGGAGCGAACAGGAUUACCCUGGUAGUCCACGCCGUCACGAUGAGUGCUAAGUGUUAGGGGGUUUCCGCCCAACUCCGGAGAU